Molecule: ribosomal RNA, 485 nt
Filed under: uncultured bacterium
Lineage: Bacteria
Description: bacterial SSU rRNA
Rfam family: Bacterial small subunit ribosomal RNA
Source: RNAcentral
GAUGAACGCUAGCGAUAGGCUUAACACAUGCAAGUCGAGGGCAGCACGGUGUAGCAAUACACUGGUGGCGACCGGCGUACGGUGCGUAACACGUAUGCAACCUACCCGCUAGUUGGGGACUAACCCGGCGAAAGUCGGACUAAUAUCCCAUAUUAUUCUUACCGGGCAUCCGGUGAGUCUGAAAGAUUUAUCGAUUGCGGAUGGGCAUGCGGAUGAUUAACUAGUAGGUGGGGUAACGGCUCACCUAGGCGACGAUCAUUAGGGGUUCUGAGAGGAAGGUCCCCCACACUGGAACUGAGACACGGUCCAGACUCCUACGGGAGGCAGCAGUGAGGAAUAUUGGUCAAUGGGCGCUAGCCUGAACCAGCCAAGUCGCGUGAAGGAUGACAGAUCUAUGGUUUGUAAACUUCUUUUGCAGGGGAGUAAAGUGCGACACGUGUGUUGUAUUGCAAGUACCCUGCGAAUAAGCAUCGGCUAACUCCGUG